CAGCAUUUUAGAGGGAUCAUUCCUUCAUCUCGGGUAGCAGAGGCAGCAGCAUAUGCAUGCUUUGCUGCCUCUGAUGCAACUGAUGCAGCUCGUCGCACAACUGCACUGAAGCUUAAUCCUUUUUUCGAGUCGUGGUCUACAGAAUUUUGGCUCAAGUCCUGCUUGCUUUGAUCUACAACACCAGACACAGCUACUUCAACUUCCCCGCGUCCUCCGGGGCCUUUCAUGUAAAUCCUGUCAGUUUUCCCGACAGAAUGAAGUGAAAGAAGGCUCCCAAAUCCAGACCUUCCAGCGUCAUAUGCAUCUCGGACCAUUUGAUAGCUAACGAAGCCUGAGAAAAGAGUAAUCUUUGAUGUUGGUGCUUUUCCAGAACUUGUAUCACUACUUGACGUAUCAGCAGGACUGCAGUCUUG
This 413-nucleotide unclassified non-coding RNA is filed under the name Hevea brasiliensis (rubber tree). The record is from RNAcentral. Lineage: Eukaryota; Viridiplantae; Streptophyta; Magnoliopsida; Malpighiales; Euphorbiaceae.